GAAGAACCAGACCCAGCUACUAAUGAAAUACACAGCUGCCUCAUGAUGGAGUGUAUAGCUGCGUGGAUCUCUCAGACAUCCUCUAGCGCUGUAUGGAAUGCUCUGUUGGUGAAUGGAUGUCCGUUUGGGUGUAACUUAGAAGAGAGAGACAAAGGAACAACUCACUCUUCCAUGAUGCUGACGUCCCUCCCAGUCAUAUCUUCAAAUAAAUGGUCUGGGAGACCAAACUCCGAAGUCAAAAUGCUUGGACACCAAAGCCCAUUUUCUCUUCUUCUUACCUCAGUGACUGUGUGACUGUCUGCCUCAGUUAUGCCAUCCAAAAGUGGGAAUAAUAACAGUACCUACCUAGCUCACCUACUUAAGAC
RNAcentral lists this long non-coding RNA (365 nucleotides) under Equus asinus (donkey). RNAcentral describes it as "lncRNA (ENSEASG00005033714.1)". Lineage: Eukaryota; Metazoa; Chordata; Mammalia; Perissodactyla; Equidae. The record is from RNAcentral.